RNAcentral lists this unclassified non-coding RNA (334 nucleotides) under uncultured fungus. Its description in RNAcentral is "partial contains small subunit ribosomal RNA, internal transcribed spacer 1, and 5.8S ribosomal RNA". The stretch from base 1 to 73 matches the Rfam family "Eukaryotic small subunit ribosomal RNA", at positions 1759 to 1831 of the family's 1831-position model. The record is from RNAcentral. Lineage: Eukaryota; Fungi.
GCAAACUUGGUCAUUUAGAGGAAGUAAAAGUCGUAACAAGGUUUCCGUAGGUGAACCUGCGGAAGGAUCAUUAACGAAUCUAAGUCGAUACACUGUGCUGGUGGAAACACAUGUGCACGUGUGUCGCAAACAUCCACACACCUGUGAACCCUAGACUCUGUGGUGAUUGACCGCCCUGACUUUUGGUCUAUGCGAAAGAGGGUCUCUGAGCCCUCCGUCUCCCAGGGUACUUUUAUCACACUCCAAAUGUAAUGGAAUGUCUCUGUGCAUAAUGCGCAAAUAUACAGCUUUCAACAACGGAUCUCUUGGCUCUCGCAUCGAUGAAGAACGCAGC